This is a transfer RNA of 89 nucleotides. It matches the Rfam family "tRNA". From Rfam's summary of the family: Transfer RNA (tRNA) molecules are approximately 80 nucleotides in length. Their secondary structure includes four short double-helical elements and three loops (D, anti-codon, and T loops).
GGUUAUGUGGUGUAGGGGUAGCAUGUAUCGUUGUGGUCAUCAGACUAGCAACUUCCGAUCCGACCCUGGUUCGAUUCCAGGCAUAGCCA